AGAGUUUGAUCCUGGCUCAGAGCGAACGCUGGCGGCAGGCCUAACACAUGCAAGUCGAGCGCCCCGCAAGGGAGCGGCAGACGGGAGAGUAACACGUGGGAACGUGCCCUUUGGUUCGGAACAACACAGGGAAACUGUUGCUAAUACCGGAUAAGUCCGUAAGGAGAAAGAAUUUAUCGCCAAAGGAUCGGCCCGCGUCUGAUUAGCUGGUUGGUGAGGUAACGGCUCACCAAGGCGACGAUCAGUAGCGGUUUGAGAAGAUUAUCACCCUCACGGGGACUGAGACACGGCCCGACUCCUACGGGAGGCAGCAGUGGGGAAUAUUGGACAAUGGGCGCAAGCCUGAUCCAGCCAUGCCGCGUGGAUGAUGAAGGCCCUAGGGUUGUAAGUCCUUCGACGGGAAGAUAAUGACGGUACCGUAGAACAGCCCGGCUAACUCGUGCAG
RNAcentral lists this ribosomal RNA (445 nucleotides) under uncultured bacterium. RNAcentral's name for it is "bacterial SSU rRNA". It matches the Rfam family "Bacterial small subunit ribosomal RNA", at positions 8 to 514 of the family's 1533-position model. The record is from RNAcentral.